UAAAAAAAUUUUUAAAUAAUUUAUUUUAAUGGGGGUUAAAGUAAAUUUAUUGAAAAAAUUAAUUAAUUUAUAGUAAAUUAGUAUUGUGAAAGAAAUUUGAAAUAUAUGAAAUAUUAAAUUAUUUAAAAGUAAUUUUAAUUUAUUGUAUCUUGUGUAUCAGAGUUUAUUAAUUAAAAUUUAUGGAUAAAAUAUUCUCGAAUUUAAAAGAGAUAAUUAAUUAAAAAAGUUAUUGUUGCAUAAAUAUUUUUAAUAAUUAAUUGGAAAUGAAAUGUUAUUCGUUUUUAAAUAUAUCUAGUUUUUUUAGAAAAAAAUUUAAUUUUAUAUUAUUAAAAAAAAAAAAUUAAUUAAUUAAUUUUUUUUUUUAAUAAUAUUAUAUUUUAAGGGAUAAGCUUUAAUUUAAAUUCAUAUAAAUUUAUUUUAAUUUUAUUAAAAUUUUUAUAAUUUAUAUUGUUAAUAAAUUUUAAUUUAUUAUAAAUAAUUUUAUUAAAAAUAAAAUUUAAUAUUAUUUUAUAUUUUUUAUAAAAAAAAAUUUUAUAAUUUUGUAAAAUUUAUUAUAAUGAUAAAAUUAGUAUAUAAUAUAUUAUAAUUUAUUAAAUUGAAAAUUAAGUUUAAUUAAUUUAAAGGAAUUCGGCAAAAAGUUAUAUUCACUUGUUUAUCAAAAACAUGUCUUUUUGAAUUUAAUAUAAAGUCUAAUCUGCCCACUGAUAUAGUUUAUAUUAAAGGGCUGCAGUAUUUUGACUGUACAAAGGUAGCAUAAUCAUUAGUCAUUUAAUUGGUGACUUGUAUGAAAGAUUGGAUGAAAUAUAAACUGUCUCUUAAUUAGUUAUAGAAUUUAAUUUUUUAAUUAAAAAGUUAAAAUGAUUUAAAAAGACGAGAAGACCCUAUAGAGUUUUAUAAAUAAAUUAAUUAAGAUUAUUUAUAAAUUUAUUAAUUAAAAUUAUUUUAUUUAUUUUGUUGGGGUGACAAAAAAAUAUGAAUAACUUUUUUUAUUAUUAUUACAUAUAUAAGUGAAUUAAUGAUCCAUUAUUAUUGAUUAUAAGAAAAAAUUACCUUAGGGAUAACAGCGUAAUUUUUUUUUUUAGUUCGAAUAAAAAAAAGAGUUUGCGACCUCGAUGUUGGAUUAAGAUAAAAUUUAAAUGCAGAAGUUUAAAAUUUUUGAUCUGUUCGAUCAUUAAAAUCUUACAUGAUCUGAGUUCAAACCGGUGUAAGCCAGGUUGGUUUCUAUCUUUUAAUAAAUAAAAUAUUUUAGUACGAAAGGAUUAAAUAUUUAAAUUAAAUUUAAAAAAUGAAUAUUAUUAAUAAAAUU
RNAcentral lists this ribosomal RNA (1306 nucleotides) under Spodoptera exempta. RNAcentral describes it as "16S ribosomal RNA". The stretch from base 1057 to 1216 matches the Rfam family "Eukaryotic large subunit ribosomal RNA", at positions 2825 to 2984 of the family's 3401-position model. Lineage: Eukaryota; Metazoa; Arthropoda; Insecta; Lepidoptera; Noctuidae. The record is from RNAcentral.